Molecule: long non-coding RNA, 56 nt
Filed under: Canis lupus dingo (dingo)
Lineage: Eukaryota; Metazoa; Chordata; Mammalia; Carnivora; Canidae
Description: Deleted in lymphocytic leukemia 2 conserved region 4 (ENSCAFG00020000174.1)
Rfam family: Deleted in lymphocytic leukemia 2 conserved region 4
Source: RNAcentral
UUGCUGGGCUACGUAGGGGAACUGUUCUAUUAUGGUCUUCAUUCUAUCAUUAAACC